UCUGAUGCUGGGACUUACUACUGUGCUGUGGCCACAUGUGGGGAGAUAUUAUUUGGAAAUGGAACUAAACUGGACAUUGAAGAGCAAAAAUCAGGUUCUGAAUUUACUGUGCUGGUUAUGGCAAUAAUCUUCUUGGUUAUUUCUGUGACUCUCAUUAUUGUUUGUUGUCAAACUCCAAGAGGACUAUGUGAACAAUGCAAAGAUGCAGUUGCUUUGCAAACAAAUCUGACAGCAAAAGGAGAUCAGGAAAUUCUGCAGACAGAUGAAGACUCAUUGGUUUAUUCUGUAGCAAUUUUCUCUUGUGGAAAAAUUAGAUACAGGAACAAAGACUAGAUACAGGACUACAGAACCUGCAGAAGAUGAGAAAUAAUUUGAAAGCUCUUGAGCUGGAUUGAUAUCUAGACACAUAUAACUCUUGCCUUUUUAAAUUGGGUUAGAAAUGUACUUGUUCUUCUAGCUAACCUAAUUUUCUUCUCCAUGUUUAUUGAUAAUUUUGUUGACAGAAAUAAAUAGUUA
Molecule: long non-coding RNA, 516 nt
Organism: Oreochromis aureus
Lineage: Eukaryota; Metazoa; Chordata; Actinopteri; Cichliformes; Cichlidae
Source: Ensembl